UCCCCAGUGGCGCAAUUGGCUACCGCGCGGUACUUAUAAUGCCAGGUUGUAAAGUUCGACCCUUUCCCGGGGAA
Molecule: non-coding RNA, 74 nt
Organism: Trichonephila inaurata madagascariensis
Lineage: Eukaryota; Metazoa; Arthropoda; Arachnida; Araneae; Nephilidae
Source: the annotation of a GenBank genome assembly